CCUGCCAGUAGUCAUAUGCUUGUCUCAAAGACUAAGCCAUGCACGUCUAAGUACAAACUAAAUGAUGGUGAAACUGCAAAUGGCUCAUUACAACGGUUAUGAUGUACCCGGGAGUUCCGAUGGAUAUUUCCAGUAACACUAGAACUAAUACAUGCUCCUGCGUUUAUUAGUUUCGCACAGUCCGUCGCUGAGUCAUGGUAAACAGUUGAUCGACUCGACGUCCCGGAACAGUUUCCGCCCCAUCAGCUUCGAUGGUUGGGUAUUGGCCUACCAUUGCAACAACGGGUAACGAGGAAUUAGGGUUUGAUUUCGGAGAGGGAGCCUGAGAAACGGCUACCACAUCUACGGAUGGCAGCAGGCGCGCAAAUUACCCAAUGCAGACACUGUGAGGUAGUGACGAGAAAUAAUAAAGCGGGACUUCUGUUUCGCUAUUAUAAUGAGGAAUAACCAAAGGUCAUUCCGAUUAGCAACUGAUGGGAAAGUCUGGUGCCAGCAGCCGCGGUAAUACCAGCGUCAGUAGCAUAUAUUAAAAUUGUUGCAGUUAAAACGUCCGUAGUCUGUACGUCGUCACAAACUCACUGCAGUCUUCCGUUUUCUUCAUUGAAUGCGGUAGUUUCUGCAGUCACUCCCUUGAUCAAAUUAGGUUGUUCAAGGUAGACCAAGUCUUCAUAUUUUCACAUGGAAUUGGGUGAGGGAACUUAAGAGUUUAAGUUUCUCGUCUUAGGAUCAUCCGGGGUCAUUCGUACUCGUCCGCGAGAGGUGAAAUUCUUGGACCGGACGAAGACGACCAGCAGCGAAAGCAUCUGUCAGGGAUGUUUUCUGCGACAAAGGACGAAGGUCAGGGUAUCGAAGACGAUUAGAUACCGUCGUAGUCCUGACUGUAAACUAUGCCAACUUGGGUCUUGCUGGGCGAUGCUUUGUGAGACCCACACAGAAAUGAAAGUGUAUGGGUUCUGGGGGUAGUAUGGACACAAGUCUGAAACUUGAAGGAAUUGACGGAAGAGCACCAUAAGACGUGGAGCUUGCGGCUUAAUUUGACUCAACGCGGGAAAACUUACCAGGUCAAGACAUGGGCGUGAUUGACAGGCUAAUGACUUUUCUCGAUUCCAUGGAUGGUGGUGCAUGGUCGCACUUAGUUGGUGCAGUGAUUUGUCAGGUUUAUUCCGGUAACGAACGAGACCUCGGCCUUGUAAAUAGCUACGCUGCUUACAGGGACAUUGGCGGCUACGCCAAGGAAGCUCGAGGCAAUUGCAGAUCUGGAAUGCCCUUAGAUGUCCUGGGUCGCACGCGUGCUACAAUGACGCCACGAACGAGUUUGCGUGAUGAAAGUCACGCAUAAUCAGCAGUCGGCGUCUUAAGGGAUAGUCUCUUGUAACUGUGGGACUCCAACUAGGAAUGUCUCGUAAGCACAAGUCAACAUCUUGUGUUGAUUACGUCCCUGCUCUUUGUACACACCGCCCGUCGCUCCUACCGAUCGAGUGUUUAGGUGAAUUUGAUGGACGUAAGGAAGUCAAAUAAACCUGAGCACUUAGAGGAAGGAGAAGUCGUAACAAGGUUUCCGUAGGUGAACCUGCGGAAGGAUCAUUCCAUUAGCGCGCGAUUCAUUGGUUCUCAACCUGCGUAAGCAGCGUAAUAAAGGUUUUUUAGCUUUGGAGGUGUCGGGUACUGAUCCGAGGAAGGACGCAGUUACACGCGAUAUUCAACCUGAAUCGCAAAACUGCGGAUGGUCGGGUGUCUGAAUGCUCAAAGCCGGAGCUACUGGUCACGCUCUAACACACCCCUUCGGUGUCUCACUUCCGCGUGAUGUGAGAAUUCCAAAAUAUUUUCACGUGACCACUAGCGGGGCAUGUAGUUAAUUUAAGCUUAUAAGUUAAUACACAAAGAAACUAAAUAGGAUGGACCGAGUAGUGGCGAAUGAAAAGUCCAAAGACCGAUCCGAAUUCAAGUUGUGGAUCCUACACUUCGGAAGACUCCAAAUCACCUGGAACGGUGGGCCGUAGAGAGUGAUAGCCUCUUUAGAGUCGGAAGAAGCGUAAACAGACUGAGUAGUAUUUGUUGGGAAGCAAAUACGAACGGGUGAUAAAAGUCAUCCAAGUCUAAACAGAUCAGUACACCGAUAGCAAACAAGUAUUGCGAAUAAAACAUGAAAAGUACUCCUGGAGGAGGGUUAAACUCCUAAAAAGCUAAAAAUAAAGUCGUUGGUGUCGCUGCGGGUUCAAUCCUGCUCCAUCUGUCUUUUAGACUUUUGGCUACCGACAUCAACCUACCCGUCUUGAAACACGGACCAAGG
This 2290-nucleotide ribosomal RNA is filed under the name Mesodinium rubrum. RNAcentral's name for it is "SSU rRNA". The stretch from base 1 to 1587 matches the Rfam family "Eukaryotic small subunit ribosomal RNA". Lineage: Eukaryota; Ciliophora; Litostomatea; Cyclotrichida; Mesodiniidae. The record is from RNAcentral.